Molecule: ribosomal RNA, 478 nt
Filed under: uncultured bacterium
Lineage: Bacteria
Description: partial 16S ribosomal RNA
Rfam family: Bacterial small subunit ribosomal RNA
Source: RNAcentral
GACGAACGCUGGCGGCGUGCUUAACACAUGCAAGUCGAACGGUAAGGCCCUUCGGGGUACACGAGUGGCGAACGGGUGAGUAACACGUGGGUGAUCUGCCCUGCACUUCGGGAUAAGCCUGGGAAACUGGGUCCAAUACCGGAUAGGACUCCGGACUGCAUGGUCUGGGGUGGAAAGCUUUUGCGGUGUGGGAUGGGCCCGCGGCCUAUAAGCUUGUUGGUGGGGUGAUGGCCUACCAAGGCGACGACGGGUAGCCGGCCUGGGAGGGUGACCGGCCACACUGGGACUGAGAGACGGCCCAGACGCCUACGGGAGGCAGCAGUGGGGAAUAUUGCACAAUGGGCGCAAGCCUGAUGCAGCGACGCCGCGUGAGGGAUGACGGCCUUCGGGUUGUAAACCUCUUUCAGCAUCGACGAAGCGAAAGUGACGGUAGGUGCAGAAGAAGGACCGGCCAACUACGUGCCAGCCGCCGCCGUAA